GCCGGUGUGGCUCAGUGGUUAGAGUGUUGGCUGCAGACCAAAGGGUCCCAGGUUUGAUUCCGGUCAAGGGCA
This 72-nucleotide transfer RNA is filed under the name Myotis davidii. It matches the Rfam family "tRNA". From Rfam's summary of the family: Transfer RNA (tRNA) molecules are approximately 80 nucleotides in length. The record is from Rfam by way of RNAcentral. Lineage: Eukaryota; Metazoa; Chordata; Mammalia; Chiroptera; Vespertilionidae.